AGAGUUUGAUCCUGGCUCAGGAUGAACGCUGGCGGCGUGCUUAACACAUGCAAGUCGAACGAUGAAGCGCCAGAUUGCUGGGUGGAUUAUUGGCAAACGGGUGAGUAACACGUGAGUAACCUGCCCCUGACUCUGGGAUAAGCCCGGGAAACUGGGUCUAAUACCGGAUAUGACCAUGGGACGCUAUGUCUCGUGGUAGAAAGAUUUAUCGGUUGGGGAUGGACUCGCGGCCUAUCAUCUUGUUGGUGAGGUAAUGGCUCACCAAGGCGACGACGGGUAGCCGCCCUGAGAGGGUGACCGGCCACACUGGGACUGAGACACGGCCCAGACUCAUUCGGGAGGCAGCAGUGGGGAAUAUUGCACAAUGGGCGCAAGCCUGAUGCAGCGCCUCCGCGUGAGGGAUGACGGCCUUCGGGUUGUAAACCUCUUUCAGUAGGGAAGAAGCGAGAGUGACGGUACCUGCAGAAGAAGCGCCGGCUAAUUACGUGCCAGCAGCCGCGGUAAUACGUAGGUGGCGAGCGUUAUCCGGAUUUACUGGGCGUAAAGGGAGCGUGGGCGGAUGAUUAAGUGGGAUGUGAAAUACCCGGGUUCAACUUGGGUGCUGCAUUCCAAACUGGUUAUCUACGAGUGCAGGAGAGGAGAGUGGAAUUCCUAGUGUAGCGGUGAAAUGGGUAGAGUUUAGGAAGAACACCAGUGGGGAAGGGGACUCUUUGGACUGUAACUGACGUUGAGGCUGGAAAGCGUGGGGAGCAAACAGGAUUAGAUACCCUGGUAGUCCACCCCGUAAACGAUGAAUACUAGGUGUGGGCGUUUCAACACCUCUUUGCCACCGCUAACGCAUUAUGUACUCCGCGUGGGGAGUGCGGUCGCAAGAUUAAAACUCAAAGGAAUUGACGGGGACCCGCACAAGUAGCGGCGCAUGUGGUUUAAUUAGAAGCAACGCGAAGCACCUUACCUUCACUUGACAUCCCUUGCAUUACUGUUAAUCGAGGAAAUCCUUUCGGGGACAAGGUGACAGGUGGCGCAUGGUUGUUGUCAGCUUGUGUCGUGAGAUGUUGGGUUAAGUCCCGCAGCGAGCGCACCCCUUCUCGUUAGUUCCUCCCACUUAACUUGAGGACUCUAGCGAGACUCCCUGGGUUAACCAGGAGGAAGGUGGGGAUGACGUCAAAUCUUCAUGCCCCUUAUGUGUAGGGCUCCCCACGUGUUCCAAUGGGUGGUACAGAGAGAUGCACUUCCGCGAGGCGGAGCCACAUUUAAAAACCAGUCUCAGUUCGGAUUGUAGUCUGAAACUCGCCUCCAUGAAGUUGGAGUUACUAGUAAUCGCGAAUCAGAAUGUCGCGGUGAAUACGUUCCCGGGUCUUGCACUCACCGCCCGUCA
This 1378-nucleotide ribosomal RNA is filed under the name uncultured bacterium. Its description in RNAcentral is "bacterial SSU rRNA". It matches the Rfam family "Bacterial small subunit ribosomal RNA". The record is from RNAcentral.